RNAcentral lists this ribosomal RNA (369 nucleotides) under Theileria annulata. RNAcentral describes it as "SSU rRNA". It matches the Rfam family "Eukaryotic small subunit ribosomal RNA", at positions 514 to 919 of the family's 1831-position model. Lineage: Eukaryota; Apicomplexa; Aconoidasida; Piroplasmida; Theileriidae. The record is from RNAcentral.
AUGAUGGGAAUUUAAACCUCUUCCAGAGUAUCAAUUGGAGGGCAAGUCUGGUGCCAGCAGCCGCGGUAAUUCCAGCUCCAAUAGCGUAUAUUAAAAUUGUUGCAGUUAAAAAGCUCGUAGUUGAAUUUCUGCUGCAUUGCUUGUGUCCCUCUGGGGUCUGUGCAUGUGGCUUUUUUCGGACGGAGUUUCUUUGUCUGAAUGUUUACUUUGAGAAAAUUAGAGUGCUCAAAGCAGGCUUUCGCCUUGAAUAGUUUAGCAUGGAAUAAUAAAGUAGGACUUUGGUUCUAUUUUGUUGGUUUUAGGUACCAAAGUAAUGGUUAAUAGGAACAGUUGGGGGCAUUCGUAUUUAACUGUCAGAGGUGAAAAUUC